GGAGAGUGAAGCGUGCCUGGUGGCCGCCGCGGUUUUCAAAACCGUUGAAGGGCUGUUAUGGUCUUUGGUUGGUUCAAUUCCUUCCCUCUCCGCCA
This 95-nucleotide transfer RNA is filed under the name Akkermansiaceae bacterium. RNAcentral describes it as "tRNA-Sec". It matches the Rfam family "Selenocysteine transfer RNA". Lineage: Bacteria; Pseudomonadati; Verrucomicrobiota; Verrucomicrobiia; Verrucomicrobiales; Akkermansiaceae. The record is from RNAcentral.